This 447-nucleotide ribosomal RNA is filed under the name uncultured bacterium. Its description in RNAcentral is "bacterial SSU rRNA". It matches the Rfam family "Bacterial small subunit ribosomal RNA", at positions 355 to 825 of the family's 1533-position model. The record is from RNAcentral.
UCGGGAAUUUUGGGCAAUGGGCGAAAGCCUGACCCAGCAACGCCGCGUGAAGGAUGAAGUAUUUCGGUAUGUAAACUUCGAAAGAAUAGGAAGAAUAAAUGACGGUACUAUUUAUAAGGUCCGGCUAACUACGUGCCAGCAGCCGCGGUAAUACGUAGGGACCAAGCGUUGUUCGGAUUUACUGGGCGUAAAGGGCGCGUAGGCGGCAUGACAAGUCACUUGUGAAAUCUCUGGGUUUAACCCAGAACGGCCAAGUGAUACUGUCGCGCUAGAGUGCAGAAGGGGCAAUCGGAAUUCUUGGUGUAGCGGUGAAAUGCGUAGAUAUCAAGAGGAACACCUGAGGUGAAGACGGGUUGCUGGGCUGACACUGACGCUGAGGCGCGAAAGCCAGGGGAGCAAACGGGAUUAGAUACCCGGGUAGUCCCUGAGCGGGCUGGCAAGGCGCAU